Molecule: ribosomal RNA, 481 nt
Filed under: uncultured bacterium
Lineage: Bacteria
Description: partial 16S ribosomal RNA
Rfam family: Bacterial small subunit ribosomal RNA
Source: RNAcentral
GACGAACGUUGGCGGCGUGCUUAAUACAUGCAAGUCAACUGAAGCAGUGCUACCUAUAUCGCUGUGUCGGUGGCCCACGGGUUAGUAACCCGUUGGUUAUCUUCCUUCAGGUCUUGCAUUACUCCGGGAAACCUGGGCUAAUUGCCGAUGAUGCAGCGCCUCUGCAUCGAGACGGUUGUUAAAGCUCUGGCGCCUGGAGAGGAGGCUGCGGAUGAUUAGCUAGUUGUCGGGGUAACGGCUCACCAAGCCAACGAUCAGUAGCUGGUCUGAGAGGAUGAUCAGGAACGAGGGAAGCGAGACAGGGUCUAGAAUCCUACGGGAGGCAGCAGGAAGGAAAAUUGCUGAAUGGGAGAAAUACUGAAGCAGAAACGGAGCGUGAGGGACGAAGGGCGGGAGCUUGGAAACCGCGGUAGUAAGAGAAAAAAACUCCAACGAUGGGGAAAUGACGGUAUCGGAAAAGGAAGCCCCGGCUAACUACGUG